UUAGUCGUUUUAAAUAUUAGAGCUUUUUAUUUCAUAAUAUACUCUUUCAAUAUAAUUUAAAUAGGUAUUUUGGACCAUUCAUAACUACAAUUAUAGAAAUAAUAGGAUAGUUUUGAUAACUUAUUUAGUUGGUGGUUAAAGAAUAUAACAUUAAAAUUAAUAGUAGGUCACUUUUAACACUUUUAUAAUUAGUAAUAUAAUAAGUAGGGUUACUAUUACUUGAUUAUCACAAACCGCUCGACAUUCUUACUUUUGGUUCUCGGCGCCACCAUUGCAGGUACAAGGAAAGUGUAUAGAUUGGAAACAUUCUGACAUUGAGGAAAAUAAAGGCAUUGGAGAAGUAGUUUUCUUGACUUCGAUUCUUCGGUGGAGCGAGUGUACCUAUGACUUCUGAUUUCCCUCAUCUCUAGCCAGCCUCCCGCAUAUCAAGUUCCAGGGUGAGCUAUCCAUUCAAGCUCGUGUUGGGUUCUCUCGGUCAUGACACGAUGUCUUAUACUUUCAGACACAUACCAUUUUAUUCUUUUAUUUUGGUGUAUUUGAUUUUUUUUAGACUUCGUAUUGGAGAUUAGAUGUCCUUGAUGUGAUGACUUUCAGGUUUUGGGAAAUGAUAUUUAGUAACAUCGAGUUUCCGCA
Molecule: long non-coding RNA, 633 nt
Organism: Solanum lycopersicum (tomato)
Lineage: Eukaryota; Viridiplantae; Streptophyta; Magnoliopsida; Solanales; Solanaceae
Source: RefSeq, a predicted model, not a curated record